Molecule: non-coding RNA, 619 nt
Organism: Microcebus murinus (gray mouse lemur)
Lineage: Eukaryota; Metazoa; Chordata; Mammalia; Primates; Cheirogaleidae
Source: RefSeq, a predicted model, not a curated record
GCGACUGGAAGGGCAAUGUGUCAUUCUGGCAGAGGACUGCAGUUUCUCCAAGUACUACCCUGGCUGUUCUUAUGGUUUUCAUGUACAAGAUGAGGAGACUGAGAUGCAGAAGCAUGAAGAUGCCCAGUGUCAAUUGGCUGGGGCACGGCCCGCUGCCACGAGCUCUUUGUCCACCAUCAUCUUCCUCAAUUCUGAAGGGUCUCUGGAACCAACAUACGGUGAUGGUCUGCUUUUCCACUCAUGAAGGAGGGAGACUUUGUGUCUCUGAAGAGUCACAGCACCAAAGAUAUCUGACGUGCACUCUAAUAAGCUAAAGGGCAGUUUGCCCAUUUGGGCUGAAAAUGGAAAAUACACAGAUACACAUAAAAACGCCCUAAAAAGAAAUGAAAACCGGCCAACACAUGGAAACACCCUGACGUGAGACCAACUCAACAGGCCAAAGGAAGGCCUGGGGCCAUGGUGGCCAAGAGACGUUCAGCUACACCCUCCGACAGCACAAUCGGCCCCUUCAUUACGUGGAAGAAGCUGCACAAGGCACCCAGAAUAAAAGCCACUUUGUUUAGCAUUCCAAAGGCGUUCCCAGUGUCCCCCAGAGUCCUCGUUAGUUACCUGGAGAAUU